GACGAACGCUGGCGGCGUGCUUAACACAUGCAAGUCGAACGGUAAGGCCCUUCGGGGUACACGAGUGGCGAACGGGUGAGUAACACGUGGGUGAUCUGCCCUGCCCUUCGGGAUAAGCCUGGGAAACUGGGUCUAAUACCGGAUAGGACCACUGCCUGCAUGGGUGGUGGUGGAAAGCUUUUGCGGUGUGGGGUGGGGCGGCGGCCUAUCAGCUUGUUGGUGGGGGGUUGGCCGACCAAGGCGACGACGGGUAGCCGGCCUGGGAGGGUGACCGGCCACACUGGGACUGAGAUACGGCCCAGACUCCUACGGGAGGCAGCAGUGGGGAAUAUUGCACAAGGGGCGCAAGCCGGAUGCAGCGACGCCGCGUGAGGGAUGACGGCCUUCGGGGUGUAAACCUCUUUCAGCACCGACGAAGCGCAAGUGACGGUAGGGGCAGAAGAAGGACCGGCCAACUACGUGCCAGCCGCCGCGGUAA
RNAcentral lists this ribosomal RNA (478 nucleotides) under uncultured bacterium. RNAcentral describes it as "partial 16S ribosomal RNA". It matches the Rfam family "Bacterial small subunit ribosomal RNA", at positions 28 to 523 of the family's 1533-position model. The record is from RNAcentral.